Molecule: ribosomal RNA, 438 nt
Filed under: uncultured bacterium
Lineage: Bacteria
Description: partial 16S ribosomal RNA
Rfam family: Bacterial small subunit ribosomal RNA
Source: RNAcentral
CUACGGGUCGCUGCAGUGGGGAAUAUUGCACAAUGGGCGAAAGCCUGAUGCAGCAACGCCGCGUGAGCGAUGAAGGCCUUCGGGUCGUAAAGCUCUGUCCUCAAGGAAGAUAAUGACGGUACUUGAGGAGGAAGCCCCGGCUAACUACGUGCCAGCAGCCGCGGUAAUACGUAGGGGGCUAGCGUUAUCCGGAAUUACUGGGCGUAAAGGGUGCGUAGGUGGUUUCUUAAGUCAGAGGUGAAAGGCUACGGCUCAACCGUAGUAAGCCUUUGAAACUGAGAAACUUGAGUGCAGGAGAGGAGAGUAGAAUUCCUAGUGUAGCGGUGAAAUGCGUAGAUAUUAGGAGGAAUACCAGUUGCGAAGGCGGCUCUCUGGACUGUAACUGACACUGAGGCACGAAAGCGUGGGGAGCAAACAGGAUUAGAUACCCCGGUAGUC